This is a non-coding RNA of Struthio camelus australis, 8651 nucleotides long. The record is from RefSeq and is a predicted model, not a curated record. NCBI's taxonomy places the organism in Eukaryota, Metazoa, Chordata, Aves, Struthioniformes, Struthionidae.
CUCAUUUGGCUUUCAUGUCAGCUCCUUCAGGAGCUGCAGAACAGCUCUCUAACAACUGAGAAAUGCCAGACAGUUUGUUUGUGGUUGGUGGAGACUCAGAAGAGGAUAAGUGGCAGAUCUGUUCCCCUGUAAGUGCUGGAGAGAAGACGCUGUCUGGAAGACCAGGGACGAUCAGACUUUUUGGAGACAGGGAAGCAUGGGUUUUCCUGUCUGAACAAAGCCCCGGACCUACCUUACCAGCGUGAGAGGGGGAUCAUACAAGCGUACUGUGGAUUCUUUGUACGUGCUACUUGAUUGUGGUCUAUUUCUUACUGACCCACCCAAAAAGAGAGAAGAAGAAUCAAGUGAAAAUCGUUGUCUUGCCACUUCUGCCUGAGAGCUGGCUGAAUGUUUUGACGCCUGCUGGAGAAACUACCUGGGCUAUUAGUAAGGGAGCAGCUGGCACUGCAUCUCUGGUCAGCAAAGCUCUCUGCAUGGAGUACAAUGAUCAAGUUGCCUUAAGUCAAACCAUACGCAAGUUGCACUAAUUGCUGUAACUGUGUUGCUAAUACCACUCCAGACUCUACUAGAGCUUUCCAAGACAGUACUUUCUCAUGUAGUUUGAAUAUUUUCAAUUGACAUUUGAAUGUUUCUAUUAAAUCUGAUGUGGCUGUGAAAAGUGGAGGGGGUGAAUUUUUUCCUACUAAGUUCAUGGUGAAUUUUGAAGCCUUAUUACCAAGUGGGAUUCAUGCUAUGGCAGCAACCUACAGGCUUAUGGUCACUACUGUGAACUGCUACAGCAGUGUGGUGAUAGACCGUCACUUUCAGCACGCUGUGCAUUACUGCACAGGGACUUGCCAGGUGUUUAAGCAAGGAGUCACGUGUUUAGUUGCUCAUCACGGUGUUUGUGCGGAGCUCAAUGUCCAAGAUGACAACCUAGACAAUAAGCUUCCUGUUCCUGAAAAUGGAUUUGCCUUGCCUGGAAAUGAGGACGAUCACCAAAUCCUCCCAAGUAACCCGAGGCUCAAAAAGGGCUCUGCAAUGCAAGCCACUGGCAGUUUAAAAGACAUUACUGGGGAGGCAAUAAACCUUGCCAGUGGUAAAAUAAAGGAGUUCUCCUUUGACAAGCUCAAAAACUCUUCCAGUCACGUGGCCUACAGAAAGGGAAGGAAAGUUCGAUCAGAAUCAUUCAGCAGACGAUCUUUUGAUUUUGAUUUGAUUUAUGGGCACUUCAACAAUGAUGAGAAUUGCCCUCCGUGUGGCUUCUUGCAGAGCCCCUCACCUGGGGAGAAAUGGCAGGAGAGCAAUGACUCGCCAGAAGUCAGCAUGAAUUCCAUGGCUCCCUUCUCCGAAGAAAACUUCAUUACCCAAAUUUUGGAAAAACACAAGCUGGACGGUUCUUCUGGUGGAGAUAUUAAGGUGUGCUUAGACAUCCUGCUCAAGUGCUCAGAGGAUCUGAAGAAGUGCACAGACAUCAUAAAGCAUUGCAUCAAGAAGAAGUCUGCAGAUGGCGUUAGUGCGGGCAACAAAAGCGAUCCCCUGGCUAAUUCAGAAAUAAUAUAUAUGAAUCUGAUGACAAGAUUUUCUUCGUACCUAAAAAAGCUACCAUUUGAGCUCAAGUCACCUGGGCACAAGGAAGCGAGUGACUUGGCAGACUUGGUUAACUGUUUUCAUGACUUGCAGCAGACUCCCUUUUGCACAGUAUUUGGAGAUGAGCAACCACCUAGGUAUGAAGAUAUUAUCCAGCUGCCAUCCUCAGGAGCAGUUCCUCUCGGACUACCAGGUGAGCAGUGUGAGGUGACAAGCACCACUCAAUCCAUCCAAACAAGUACUGUGAGCUUUACCUCAAACUCCCUUCACAGCAUCACACAGGAGAGCGGCGCGAGGGCUGUGAAAGAUGCUUGCGCUCUACCUCAGUUACCCACCACAAGCCCUUCUGACUGCACAUCUUCCACGGAGGCUCUGUACAUUGAAGAAGAAUCAGAUGGGGAAAGAGCAUUAGAGAAGGUAAAGAAGGCAGAAGAGAAAGGUGACUGGGAGAGUUUAGAGCACAGCUACCAGCCAACUGGCUGUUCAGAUCUAACUGCAAAUGUUAAAGCAGAACGUGCCAGAGUGGGAGCUGAUAAACUCGCCCACACUUCUGAGAAAAUUACUCUUUUAAAACCAGGUUUGGAUACUGCUCUGGGUGGUUCCCAAGCUGGUGUCUCCAAAGGAGAACAGAAGUGCGGUAAAACGGACAGAGAUGAGAUAGACAAACUGCUGCUGGACUUGGAGUGCUUCUCACAGAAAAUGGAGAGUACUUUGAGGGAAUCAUCUCUAAAGGAGAGUGAACCUGCCUCUUUGCAGGUGUUUGGCUGGCAGGGUAGGCAGGUACUACCUCUGGCUCUUGAACCCAAAAGCAAGCCCAUUGAUCCCACUAACUCUUUGUCAAAAAUCAUGGAAACCAACGGUCAUAAAAUGGAAGAAGAUGACAAAGCCCUUUUACUGCGUAUCCUGGAAAGCAUUGAGGACUUUGCCCAGGAACUGGUGGAAUUCCAAACGGGCAAGGGAAGCUUGUCCAAGGAGAAGGAAGUAAUGCGGAUUCUGCAGGAAACUUUAACAACUCCUUCACAGUCCCUCCUUACAGGGCAAAAAAGCUGUACUGGGGCUGCCUCCAGAGACUCUGUUCCAGCUUCGAUUCAGCAGGCCCCAGAAGUGAUAAAGGUUCAAAAUAAACCAGAGAAGAAGCCUGGAACUUCAUCCUCAGUCCCUUUGAACUCAGUGGUUAGCCCGUGUGCUCUUCUGCCUGUGAAUAAAGCCACCAGCAGCACCCCUUUGCCCAUAAACAUUCCACGUUUCUACUUCCCCAAAGGACUUCCGAAUGUCUGCACUAAUCAUGAGGAGGUCAUUGCCAGGAUUGAAGAAGCCUUUACAGAGUUUGAAGAUGAGAAAGCUAACGUCUGUGAAAUGGGGAAAAUUGCUAAGAUAUGUGGCUGCCCACUCUAUUGGAAAGCACCUAUGUUCACUGCAUCCGGAGGAGAAAGGACAGGAUGUGUAUCUGUACACUCAUUUGUAACCAUGUGGAGAAAAGUCCUACAUAACUGUCAUGACGAUGCAUCCAGAUUCACAUACCUUUUAGCAAAGCCUGGCUGUGACUGCCUGGAGCAGGAGGACUUCAUCCCGCUGCUCCAGGAUGUGGUGGAAACGCAUCCUGGCCUGACCUUCCUGAAGGAUGCUCCGGAGUUCCAUUCCCGGUAUAUUACGACGGUUAUACAGAGAAUAUUCUACACAGUCAAUCGAUCCUGGUCUGGGAAGAUCACUCUAACAGAGCUGAGGAAAAGCAACUUCUUGCAAACUCUUGCUCUCUUGGAAGAAGAGGAUGACAUAAAUCAGAUCACAGAUUAUUUCUCCUAUGAGCAUUUCUAUGUCAUAUACUGUAAAUUCUGGGAGCUGGAUACUGACCAUGAUCUUUACAUCAGCCAGAAGGAUCUGGCUAGGUACAGUGAUCAAGCUUUAUCAAGCAGGAUUAUCGAGCGAAUAUUCAGCGGCGCUGUGGUGAGAGGAAAUGAAGUUCAGAAGGAAGGCCGGAUGAGCUAUGCUGAUUUUGUGUGGCUGCUAAUUUCGGAGGAAGACAAAAGGAGUGCUACAAGUAUUGAAUACUGGUUUCGGUGCAUGGACCUGGAUGGGGAUGGGGUGCUCUCCAUGUAUGAACUGGAGUACUUUUAUGAGGAGCAGUGUGAGCGGAUGGAAGUGAUGGGCAUAGAACCACUGCCGUUUCAUGACUUGCUAUGUCAGAUGCUUGACCUUGUUAAGCCAGAGAGGGAUGGAAGAGUAACCCUACGAGACCUGAAGAGGUGCAGAAUGGCUCAUGUAUUCUACAACACCUUCUUCAAUUUAGAGAAAUACCUGGACAAUGAGCAGAGGGAUCCCUUUGCAGUGCAAAAGGACAUUGAAAACGAUGGCCCUGAACCCUCCGACUGGGACAGGUACGCUGCUGAAGAGUACGAGAUCCUUGUGGCUGAGGAGUCUGGGAACGAACAGUUACAAGAAGGAUCAUUUGAAGAAGACUAUGACGCAGAUGAAGUCUUAUCUCCCCCUGAAACUGGAGACAAGUCAGACAAACUAGUUAUCUCAGAUCUCUCAGCAUAGGGAAACGGAAGACAUGUAAUCAGUAUCUGUCAAACUGGAUAGCAAUCAGUCCUAAGACACUUAAGGGAUUUUUCUUAAAUCCCUCAUUGGAGCAAUGUGCUUUAUUUUGUACACUGUAAGUUGAGAACCCUUUUUCUCUUCCUGUGUAACUGCAGUAGGUAAUUUCUAUAAAAGGCUUUUUACAAUGUGUUAUUGUGCACGCUCAUUAAAAAUGGUGAUUGUACCUUGUUUCCUUUAUAUCUUUCCAUACAAAUUCUGUUCUGUCCCUCUAUGUGCAAUAAAUGCCAGCAUCUCCUUAUUAACCAUAACAACCGCAUGCAACGUCUGCAGUGGCAAUUUCUGGUUCAGUUCAGUGCCAUUGUGACCCUUUGGCUUUAUACUAGCAGUGAAAUCAGAGUUGCCAGAUUAACUUGAUUUAAAUGAAAAACUAGAAGUCUUAAAACACAAGGCACAGUUAAGUUCUCAUUUUUAUUAGUUUCACCUUUUUUUCCCCCUGGAAAGCAAGGCAACAUCCCUGAGCAUGGGGAAAGUGAGGUCCCUUUUUGUGCGUUAUGCCGCAAGAUCUUCAAUCGCUACUACGCGUAUUUUACAGCACAGUACAUGCUGCAGUGUUUCUCUGAGGAUUUAAGAUGAAGGUAGUGCUUCUGUAUAUCCUCCUUGCAUGAGAAGAUCUCCUUUAUAAAUACCAAGCAGGCAGGUCUUUAAGUCUUCUCUUGCACCUUUACGAGGAAGCAGACACACGCAUGCUCAGGAGGUGCGCUCAGACUGCUGUGUUUCGCGCACGCCACUUCUGUCCGUGCCCUGUGCUCUUCCCAGCUCCUCUGUCGCUGAUCUCUAGCCUUCUGCAAGCCGAGACUGAGCUGAGAUCAUGAGGAAGAGGGAAAAAACAAACCCUGACUCAGUAUGCUAAGUUUUUAACAGAGGGAUCCUUCAUAACUUGUAAAGGAAUUAAGCAGGUACAGGACUGAAAAUUUAUUUUCCAUCCAUGAAAUGAGCCCUAAUCUCAGAGAGGAAACACUAUAAAGCAAGAAUUUGUUAGGGAGUUAAGUACAAAACGAACCUGACUUUCCCCAUGGACUCACAACCAGUGUCUCCAGUAACAACGGCACAUUGUCUAUUGCUGGUGCUGUUCCUCCUAUACAGCUAGGAGCUUCAGUUUGUGAUUCAAUUCAGAGGUGAGUAUAACAUGUUUUGACCAGUCCUCAGUUUUACUCAUCAUAGCUAUACAAAUAGAUGUGGUACUUACCUUCUCCAGUUUGGGACAGGUUUCAGUUGCCAAAGCAUACUUUUCCAACUUUUGUAACUGUCCAAAUCUAUACGAUGUGGUUUUUAUACACUGCUUUUCCUGUUUACCUCACCUGAGGACUAUCAAACCGUGACUCCUCAGAACACGCUUGGGUGAAACCUUGCCGGAACACUCGAGAGCGCCCUGCACUGCCAGCGCGAGAAGCCGCUCUCCAAGCAGCCGCCUCCUUGCCUCCUCUACAGGCAGAGCCCACCCAUUUAAUAGCCCAUUUUUAUGUAGGCGCACUAUUAGCUUGGCACAUGUUGCGCGUGCAGAUGCUAGCACAACGGAACAUUUAUCCCUAGAUGAUACUUCUGAACGGUACUAUUACACAAAUAACCAAGUAACUGGCUGUUCAGCACUCCAGCUUUUCUAGGAGUCUUUGAAGUGUCAGGCCUGCCUCCCCGUGCCCGGCUAGGAUAUAUUGCUGCCUUAUUGAGUUAGAAACUUUCUCAUCAGGAUCAAAAGCUGAAAGGGCGGGGAGGAGCUUUCAGUUACGUUGGGCUUGGAGAGCUAUUCUGUUUUCCUUGAACAAAGCCUCUGUUUUCUCCAGAUGCCUACGCACAUCCCAGGAUCCUGGCUUUUCAGGUAUCUCGGAAACUUCUGGAUGCUCCAAGUUCUCAGCAAAGGCACUUCCAGUUAAAUUUCUUUCCAUAAUAAAAGAUAUCAACAGGGAACGCACGACUGAAACUGAGAUAAGCCCCCUUUAAUGCUCCUUUGAAUGGAACAAGGGCAAAAGUUCGGCUCAACACCAGGACAUGCCUGAAAAACAGAGCGAGGCACGCGUGGGGCCCUGCUGGAGCCCGUCCCAGGUUCACCACGGUGCCUUGCAUUUUUAUGAGCGCAGUAACUACGUUCCUCUCAGGCAUGAGUCCUCAGACACCGAUGUCAGAAUUACAUCUCCAGCAUCACUACAGUCCCCAGGGGAAAAGCUAGCUUUAUUGGGGAUGAUUCCGCAAAUAUUCCAGUGCAGAAGAAACCAGGAAAUGAUUGCAGAAACGAACACAGGACGGAAGUCACACAACCACCAAUUGUCACUAGCGCUGUGCACUUCUUGCCCCGAAAAAUCCUAGGCAAAGUGGCUCACCUCUUCUUGAAUACCCAGUCUAUAAUGGCCUUUCACUCUUAGCUUGAUACAGUUUUAAAUCUCUCCAAAGCCAAAACCUCCUCAAAGGAGCAAGAAGAACCUGAACCCAUUCUAGGCUGAAGUAGUUUCACCACUGUCUUGUCCUUCGUGUUACUUUUAAAUCCAUAAGCAGCAGCAGCAACUGGCAUGCCCAGUUUGCCAGUGAUUUAAAACCUCAUUUCAGAAUAACUUGGAGAUUGUCUCUGUGAGACUUUAACCUGAGAUAGCCUUGCACCUCCGAGAAAACUGAGCUCUUUCAGUACAGUCCAGACUAGUAUAGGAGUUCAGGUCGGAAAGGGCCUCUUUAGGUCUCUAGUCCGACUCCCUGCUCAAAGGCAGGGCGGCUUCAAAGUUAGAGCAGGUUGCUCAGGAUCUCGUCCAGCCAAGUUUUAAACAUCUCCAUGGAUGGUGAUUCCACAGCCUUUCUGAGCACCGUAUUUCCUCCUCCUCGGGAGUUCAGAAUAGCAACAUCCUUCUCCAGGAAGGAUGUAUAUUCCCAGGAACAUACAAUUGCUAUUUCACCCAAGGAGGCAGUUAAACGAAGAACGCAGAAGGCUCUCCAGUUGAGCAUGCGUCACCCUGUUCUGAGGCACCAGAUGUACGUUGGGAUGAAGGCACAGCCCACCACGGAUCAUGAGAAGCUGGGACCCGAGCAACCCUUGGUGCGUCGCUCCUUCAGUUCCUGCUUCUGAUCCACCACAAGAUCUUUCAUCUCUCUCAUUUACACGCCAUUGCAGAGGGGCUUCAACCUCAGCCCACCAGAUCAGUUCAGACUUCCAUCUCACACCAGUCUGCCUGAAGCAGCAGCUUUUUUAAAGGCGUUAUUCCCCUGAGCCUGGUAGAACCGCCACCUCCUUUUUAAGGGUUGGCGUCGAUAAAUGCAGACAGAAGCUCCUAGCUGCUCCUCUGAGCCUUCGCACAGACGGAGAGGUUCAUUGCUUUUAUGACACAGUGAUCCCAAACCCAGUUCAUGCCUUCUAGUAGGUCAACGCAACGAGCUAAUCCAAAGAAAAAUACGGCAAAUAUUUUGCCUCACAUGCAACGACAAGCUACAGAAGCCAUUGUUAGCAUGAUCUCGGUGCAAGACGUGCAGUAAUUUAUAUUAUUUACUCCAGGAGCAGAAAGCCAGUUAUCUACUAAUUCAAGUGUAUUUACUAAUACACUUGAAAAUAACCGUAAUUCAGCAAUUUCAGAUGAUUUCGUAAAUGUGGUAUUUUACACUAAAUCUAGGACUUCGUCCUGUCACAGCUUACCUGGGUGGAAGGUUUCUAAAGCUGCAGCACAGAAACAAGGCAGAUUUUGGAAUUCCUAUUCUACUUUUGUAGUUUUUCCUUUUGGGAUAGUCAAAACAUAAAUAGAUAAAGAUGUUUAUGAAUACAGACACCAAAGUCUGCUAAGCAGUAACACGUACCAGUUUGAGAGGUCCCCAAGUUCUCUAGAAUGAAGCAAGCCAACAGUUACAGCACCGAAAACUUGUAGGAACCCACUUCUCUCCAACUCUGCCUCCUGUUUCCAACUAUCAAUGCCACUUUAGAUAUUGCAUAAAGAACAUUUUUCAUUGUAAAUCCAGCUGAGACUGAAGUCCAUUACGAGCUGGAUUCCUUUCCCCCUACAAAUAGUCAGAAAAGUGAGUAACAUACAAUUUUGCAUGAUAAAAAAAAUGGUGCUUAUUUAUUCCCUACAGUCUGCUUUUUCCCAGCAGAAUUAAGUCCUGUGCCCUUCCUUACAAAAACCUUGCUUUUUGUUUUCAUAUACAAAAAUAUUCUCUCUCAACAGUAUUAAGAUGAGAGAUAUGGCUAGAUACAACCACAUGCAAUUACUACUGUAAUGGUACCAGCUUGAUUUUUUUCUUCUUUUUCUAAAAUCUCAGUAGCAGUUGCUACAUUACAGUCGUCUUCUGCAAAACCCAGGCGGGAACAUCGUUCCGCUUCUGCCGGCCUGCCACCAAGCGGCGGUAUUGCAAAGCAGACAUGGACAGCACAAACAUUUCCAGUCUCAGGUUUACAGAAAACAUUGCAGAAAAUCUUCCUGUUUUCCUAAGCAAACGGUUUAAGAGAGCUGGCUUGAGAUACUCUAGCCAAGGUACUGUUCUUAGCGUCUGAAGUGAAAUACGUCCAAAAGGCCAAAAAAAAA